Elaeis guineensis (African oil palm) is the source of this 4659-nucleotide RNA transcript. It is a transcript of the gene named probable serine/threonine protein kinase IREH1, with no coding region annotated. The record is from RefSeq and is a predicted model, not a curated record. Lineage: Eukaryota; Viridiplantae; Streptophyta; Magnoliopsida; Arecales; Arecaceae.
CCCCAGUCCAACCCAAUUCCUGAUCUCUCUUGAACCUCCUCCGCUUACCGUUGUUGCCCUCCUCCCUACAUUCGCUCUCGCUGUCUCCUUCGGGCCACCGCCGCGCCGGUCUUGUCCAAAAUGCCCACCCAUCUCUAAGAUCAUCCACCGCCCACUCUCCCCGCAAAUCCGAAAAGGGAAUCAAAAACCCUCUUGGGAGGAGCCGAGAGGGAGAGGGGGUAGGGGAAGCAGAGCAGGAGAGGGAGAAGGAUGGUGUUCAAGGGGCGGUUCUUCUCCUCGAAGAAGUCGGAUUCGUCGAGUCCCGACGGAUCCAAUAGCCCGAAGACGCCGACCCUCGCGUCUCCAAACAGAUCCGAGAAGAAGAAGGUCAAAUCGGACCCCGCCGUUGGCCGCCACACCCUCAUCAAAGACGCCGUCAAGCAGCACCAGCAGAAGAAGAAGGAGGACAAGAAGGACAAGGAGCGGGACUCCAAGGGCAAGCAGACCGCCGCCUCCGCCUCCUCCAAGGCCUCCCCUCCGGCAGCCGACCUCUCCGCCCCGGCCAAGAUCCGGAGCGGGGCGGCGGCCAAGGACGGAGGGGUGGCGGCGGCGUCAGCGCUCUCCCCGAUCCUUGCCUCCUCGCUCGGGCUGAACCGGAUCAAGACGAGAUCCGGCCCGUUGCCACAGGAGGGCUUCCGCGGGGACCACAGGAUCUCGGGCCUUGGCUGUAGCAACCUCUCCAGGGGUCCCGUGGAGGGGAGCUGCUCUACUUCGUCGUCGGCUGGGAAGGGGGCCAGUGGCAGCACAAAGAAGGAGGGGAGGGGCCUCGAGAAGGUUCCCGAGUCGUGCGCUACUUCUUGGGCUGAUCAUGGAGGGAGCCGAGGCAAGGGGUGGUCAGCGGCGAGCUCGGAUGCUCGGCUUGGGAGCCAGAUUUGCAAUGGCGAGCAUACCAAUGUUCAAUUUGGGAAAACUAACUCAUCAUGGAAUCAUCCUGAAGAUUUUAAAAAUUCUGCUGCUUUCACUCCAGAAGCUGAGUCUCCAUAUGAUGCUUGUGAAACUCCAAAAGAGUCUGAGUCUCCCCGCUUUAAAGCCAUAAUGCAGGCUACUAGUGCACCUAGGAAGAGGUUCCCUGCUGACAUAAAAAGUUUUUCACAUGAGUUGAACUCCAAAGGAGUACGACCAUUUCCAUUUUGGAAGCCACGAAGCAUCUACAAUUUGAAGGAGGUGUUAAAAGUCAUUCAGGUGAAAUUUGAGAAAGCAAAGGAAGAGGUAAACUCUGAUCUGGCAAUUUUUGCAGGGGAUUUGGUUGGUAUAAUGGAAAAAAAUGCAGAAAGCCAUCCUGAAUGGAAUGUAACCUUGGAGGAUUUGUUGCUACUUGCUCGGAGCUGUUGUGUCAUGACGCCUGGGGAGUUCUGGCUUCAGUGUGAAGGCAUAGUUCAGGAUUUGGAUGAUCGGCGUCAAGAGCUUCCUAUGGGAGUUCUGAAGAAACUUCAUACGCGUAUGCUUUUUAUACUUACUCGAUGCACAAGAUUGCUUCAAUUCCACAAGGAAACUGGCUUUCCUGAGGAUGAAAUUGCGAUGAACCUUCAAGAUCCUAAAGUCAUACAUUCUGCUGAGAAAAAAGUUACAUUAGGAAGGGAUGGAAAAAGCAAGAGGAACUCUGCUGAGGCACCUGCUUCAAGGAAGUCUUAUAGUCAGGAGCAGCAUAAUGUAAAAUGGAAAAGAAGCCAAGAAAUAAAGCCUGGCAAAUUUUUUUCACCAUUUAAUGCUGAUACUGAAAAGGAAAUGGUUUCGCCUGCUAGCAGAGAACGUUUUGCUUCUUGGAAACCUCUGCCAUCUCCUGCAGGAAAAGUCCAGAAAGAAGCUAGCCCCAUUAAAGAUGAUGCAUCCAUCAGAAAAAUGGAUUCUUCAGAGAUAUUGAACAAGAGACAAAGUUCAGAUGCAGACUUGACCACAACAAAUCCUCCUGAAUUACCCAGUUCCAGUGAUUCUUCUGUGCACCCAUCAGUUACUUCCAAACAUCAACACAAAGUUUCUUGGGGUUACUGGACAGAUCAGCAGAAUAUUACCGAAGAGGGUUCAAUUAUGUGUCGAAUUUGUGAGGAGUAUGUUCCUACUUUGUUUGUGGAGGAUCACUCCAAGAUUUGCGCAAUUGCAGAUAGGUGCGAUCAAAAAGGUUUGAGUGUUGAUGAACGUCUCAACAGAAUUGCUGAGACUCUAGAGAAGAUGAUAGAGUCGUACUCACAGAAGGAUCCCCCAAAUGCAGUUGGAAGCCCAGAUGUGACAAAAGUUUCUAAUUCAAGUGCCACUGAAGAAUCUGAUCUCCUUUCUCCAAAAUUUAGUGAUUGGUCUCGGAGAGGGUCGGCUGAUAUGCUUGAUUGUUUCCCGGAGGCUGACAACUCUAUUUUCUUGGACGACCUGAAGAAUUUGCCAUCAAUGACAUGUAAGACACGUUUUGGUCCAAAGUCUGACCAAGGAAUGGCGACUUCAUCAGCAGGAAGCAUGACUCCUCGAUCUCCUUUGAUGACACCAAGAGCCAGUCACAUAGACAUGCUUUUGGCAGGGAAAAAUGCACUUUCUGAGAGUGAAGAUCUUCCACAGAUAGUUGAACUUGCUGAUAUUGCUCGAUGCAUAGCGAAUACUCCAAUGGAUGAAGAGCAAUCCUUGUCGUAUUUGGUUUCCUGUGUAGAAGAUCUACAAGAAGUCAUGAGCCGUCGGAAGUUUGAGGCACUUACAGUGCAGACAUUUGGCACACGCAUAGAGAAGCUUCACCGGGAGAAGUACUUGCAGCUUUGUGAUGCAAUUGAUACUGAAAAGGUUGAUGCAUCAAGUACUGUAAUGGAUGAAGAAGAGGAUGUGGUUCGUAGCUUGCGAGCAAGCCCUGUUCACCCUACCAUCAAGGAUCGAACAUCUAUUGAUGACUUCGAAAUUAUAAAACCUAUAAGUCGUGGAGCAUUUGGUCGGGUUUUCUUAUCCAAGAAAAGAACAACAGGGGAUCUCUUUGCAAUAAAGGUUCUAAAAAAAGCAGAUAUGAUUCGCAAAAAUGCUGUUGAGAGCAUAUUAGCUGAACGUGAUAUCCUAAUCAGUGUCCGGAAUCCUUUCGUGGUACGUUUUUUUUAUUCUUUCACAUCCCGAGAGAAUUUAUAUCUUGUGAUGGAGUAUUUGAAUGGAGGGGACUUGUAUUCAUUGCUGAGAAAUUUAGGUUGCUUGGAUGAAGAAGUCGCCCGCAUAUAUAUUGCAGAAGUUGUCCUUGCAUUGGAAUACCUACAUUCCUUGCGUGUGGUGCAUCGGGAUUUGAAGCCGGACAAUUUGUUGAUUGCUCAUGAUGGUCAUAUUAAGUUGACAGAUUUUGGACUUUCAAAGGUUGGCCUUAUCAACAGUACAGACGAUCUUUCCGGUCCUGCUGUCAGUGGGACAUCAUUAUAUGGAGAAGAUGAACCUCAGGUAUCUCCAUCCGACCACUUGAAUCAGCGAGAACGACGAAAGAAACGCUCUGCUGUCGGUACACCUGAUUAUUUGGCACCAGAGAUCCUCUUAGGAACAGCACAUGGUGCAAGCGCAGAUUGGUGGUCUGUUGGUGUUAUUCUUUUUGAGCUUAUUGUUGGAAUCCCACCGUUCAAUGCAGAACAUCCUCAGACAAUCUUUGACAAUAUUCUGAAUCGUAAGAUACCUUGGCCCCGAGUACCUGAAGAGAUGAGUUUUGAAGCCCAAGAUCUAAUUGACAAAUUGUUGACUGAAGAUCCUCACCAAAGACUUGGAGCCAAAGGCGCAUCAGAGGUGAAGCAACAUGUAUUUUUUAAAAAUAUUAACUGGGACACUCUCGCCAGGCAGAAGGCUGCAUUUGUUCCCUCAUCAGAUAGUGCACUUGAUACUAGCUACUUCACUAGCCGGUACUCCUGGAAUCCAUCAGAUGAAAACAUAUAUGAAGCCAGCGAGUUUGAGGAUUCCAGUGACAAUGGAAGCAUAAGUGGAAGCAGUAGUUGUGUAAGCAAUCGUCAUGAUGAACUGCAGGGGGAUGAGUGUGGAGGUCUUACUGAGUUUGAAUCUGGCUCAUCCGUUAAUUAUUCAUUCAGUAACUUUUCAUUCAAGAAUCUGUCGCAGCUUGCGUCAAUCAACUAUGAUUUGCUCAGCAAGGGUUGGAAGGAAGAUCAACCAUCAAAAUCUGAUACUUGAGUUUCCCUUCUGUUUUCAAGUUUGCAUUUCACAUGUGAGCCAAACGCUUAGAAAUCUUGGUGAUCUCAUUGUACAGCUUGUAAAUAUAUAGGAUCUCGAGGCUGGGACUCCAGGGAUGUGCUUUUCCUCAUACAGGCUACCGCUCCUUUGUCUGGAGCUGCCUACGUUUUUAGCAGAGCCAUUUGAUUUUUCUUUAUUCCCUAUGGUAAAUUCUGCCAUCAGAUGGCUUUGACCAUUGGUCCUUUGCCAUCCAUGGAACAUACAUCUUUACAGGGGGAUGCGGAUCAGAUUUCUUUUUUUACUCAUCAGUGCCCCCUGAAAAUAGUUGAUAUUAUUUUCCCUCCUGGACUUAAUUUAACUGUUCUCUGUUUGUGAGAGAACGAGAGCUCACGUGGCAAAGGAACAUGAUUCAUGAACUUUGAUCAUAGGUCCUUGGCGUACAGUUUGAUAUCGAGCAAAUGGACGGAUCGCAUACCCUUUUUAUUUAUAAAUUCUCAUUUUUAUGCC